Long non-coding RNA from Cygnus olor (mute swan), 398 nucleotides. RefSeq lists it as uncharacterized. The transcript has 3 exons. Lineage: Eukaryota; Metazoa; Chordata; Aves; Anseriformes; Anatidae. The record is from RefSeq and is a predicted model, not a curated record.
AAACACCAGCCAGAGCUGGGGCUGAGAGAAACAGCACCGCAGCUCAGUCCGGCCCAGACAGGAUGUAGAAGACCUGCAUUGCUGGUGGCCUGUGUGAUCUGAGGAACAAACAUGGUGUGGGUGACACAAGGACAUAAGAAACAGUCCUGCAGCAUGGUUCCUGUUCCUAGGUCUGGAGAUUACCCAAGGAAGUCACAGGAGUCAAUAGAGGCAGCUGUGCAGUGCACAAAGAGCAGCACCAUUGAGGAAGGAGGGACUCAGUCCAGGCAAGGAAGAGUGUUCAAAGUAAAGAGAUUCUCCAGAUGGUUGUGCUUGCUUGCUUGACACGUGGGGCUGAGCAAAGCUUAGUAGCUACGAACACCAAGGAGGAAUUUUGCUUCCCAAAAUGCCAAUUCCAA